GCCAGCUGUGUAUCUAACCCAAUAUUUUACAAUUUUUGAGAGAGGAAAACCUUGGUUGAUGGUGCCUUUUUAUUUUUCUAGAUGCUUUCUAGCAACUGAAUACCUUUGAACUGAUUAUUAGUGCCUGAACCCCAUAAUUGAGUGCUUAUGUUGCAAAACACAAAGAAACACAAGUAUUAUCUAGUACAAAAUUCAAACAUUCCUUUUUAUUUUCCCAGAAUUUCUGGACACUAUGACACUUAAAAUGAGAACUGGAAGAACUAAAAGCAAAUGGAAAUUUGUCAUCAUCUUCAUUUCAAGAUUGAUUUAAGACCUUUCCUACAGCCAGUAAAACUAUUUGGAUUCACACAUCUCCAAUAGCUGCAACACAAUCUUCAGUUCCUUGUCCCACCAAUAACCUCAGCUGUGUCCUGGAGGGUAAACUCACACUGCAUCAAUCAACAGUCUUCGUGGUCUGUAGCAUAGCCAUGUGAACUGUGGCUUACACUAUGUUCUCGUUUGCUCCCUUGACUUCUGGCAGUUGGGAACUGCACAAAAAUGAAUUAACUGUUACAAAGUUUCCUGGCAUGCUGUACUUUACAUGAUUGGAAAGUUACAUUGCUAGAAAGAACAAAGAAUAUAGACGUUUACACUGAAGUUCGGAACCAAAUGCCAAUGGUCAAAUGAUCAUCGUGUACCUUUCUUGUCUGCUCUCCCCCUCGCCCUGCCACUGGUAAGCACUGGGCAAGACCAGUUAAAAAGUUUCUGGGAGAUCAAAAAGAUCUCAGUAAAGGAACAUUUUGGACUACUCAUUUAAAAAAGAACCAAAACACAAAAAAACCAACUCCCAAACACCACCAUAAAACUGAACUUGGAAAGGCAAAGAGGCCAGCAGUUUAAGAAUACAUUAAGAUUGCACCUGCAAAUGAGUUCAUUCACUUCUUUCCAUGAACAAACCUGGUGCCUCUAUUCCCAAAUGAGAAAUAAACACACAACAUCGGGCAGGCAGACAUCCAAAUGCCCAGACAGCGUAACCGUGUGCCUACAAAACUCAUAUGUAGAAAAUGGAGCCGUGAAUGUGGACUUCAGCCUAACUUGUGGAUCUGGAGCUGUUGUGAAGGAAAAGAACAAAUGAAGACACAAAUAAGUAGCCCACCCUUGUCAUUGAAACUAUAUUUAAAAGGAGCUGCUGUGGCUUCAGUUCUGAAGCAUUUGACCUCCUGGGAUAGAGGAGAUACAAAAGAUUUUUAUUUGUUUGCAGAUUGUAAGAUAAAAUGCAAUACAUCUGAAAAUACAAACCUGAGAUGAGUCUUCUUAUAAAUGAUCUUGGGAGAAGAGGAACAGGUACAAGGAAAAAAAAAUAAUGAAAGAGGCAGAGAAAGGAAUGACAGACGUGCAGGUUCUAUGAAUAAAGAGCUAAGAAAAGACCCGUGGAAAUAAUUG
RNAcentral lists this long non-coding RNA (1422 nucleotides) under Calidris pugnax (ruff). Its description in RNAcentral is "lncRNA (ENSCPUG00000003228.1)". Lineage: Eukaryota; Metazoa; Chordata; Aves; Charadriiformes; Scolopacidae. The record is from RNAcentral.